RNAcentral lists this long non-coding RNA (1272 nucleotides) under Homo sapiens (human). RNAcentral describes it as "HSALNT0382270". The record is from RNAcentral. Lineage: Eukaryota; Metazoa; Chordata; Mammalia; Primates; Hominidae.
AGACUGGGUCCAGGCUGGGCUGUGGGUGAGAGGGUGCAGUGCUCAGCCUGGCAGUUGGUCUCUCAGUGGCCAUGGCAUUCAGGGGGCCUGAACCCUGGGUCUCUGCAUCCCUGCUGAGACAGAGGCUGAAGGCCGAGGAGAAGACGCUGGAUCUGGAGUUCGAAGUUUUGAGCGUGGGGUUUAAUGAGGCGGGUAGAUACGCCCUGAGACUGUCAGCAGAGAACCCCCUGCAGGUUUCUGCAAGAAUGACGGGCAGCAUGAUGCUCAGCUGCAUGUGGAGGCACUGAGGCUGGACGAACCCUUGGGACGGGCAGCCCAGCGGGUGGGUGAGGCCAUCUUCCCCAUCUACCCGAGGCCAGACCAACCCCGCAUGAACCCAAAGGCUCAGGAUCACGAGGACCUGUACCGCUACUGUGGCAACCUGGCUCUGCUCCGGGCUAGCACGGACCCCACAGCCCGACACUGUGGGAGCCUGGCCUACAGUGUGGCCUUCCACGUCCACCGGGGCCCUCAGCCUCCAGUCUCAGACAGCCCUCCCAGGGCUGGCCAGCCAGAACUGAUGUCACCAUGCCCAGAGCCCCAGCUCCCCAUACUGCAGAACUGAUGAUGGUCAUGGGGGGCAGUGGAGCAGGGGCAGGAGAGCAGGAUGAGCAGGAAUGCAAUAAUCAAGAUGAUCCAGAAUGAGAAGGAAGCGGAAGACAAGGCUCAGUGUGAGACCAGGGUCAGAGCUCAGCAAACUUCCACGACUGGCUUUGAAUCAGAAUCAUUUUGCUUCUCAGCCACGGCCCCUGGGUUACACAGCCUUAAAUGGCCCUGCCAAUGCUGGUCACAGCAUUCCCUAGUCCUGGAGACUCGGGAACUAAAACAAUCAAUUCCCCUGAGCAAUAAAAUUAUGGACAGUGAACACCUUCGCUUCUCCAGUCCCCAAGCUUCCUGCUCUGUGUGGGUGGGGAGGUGAUGGUGGGAGGGACUGUCCUCCAUGAAUAUUUCCAGCAUGCACAAUCACAGCUCCAAGAUAGAGGUCACUCCCUGAGCCCUUGACCCAAGGAUGGGGAUGCUGGGAGCAUGCAGGCAGGGGCUGCAGAGGGAAUUUACCCACCUAGAGGGCUAACUAUUUCCAGGUUCCUGCCAGCCAGAGCAGCAGCCCUUCCCAGAGGCUCAGGGUGCUUCCUUUCUGGGUAGAGCUCCACUACACUCGUCCCACCCCCUCAGCGCUGCCUCCUGUCACCUCUUGGCAGGUUUGAGACCAUAGAGCUAUGCCUCUCCAGCUCC